This 229-nucleotide long non-coding RNA is filed under the name Gossypium raimondii (Peruvian cotton). RNAcentral describes it as "long non-coding RNA (GRAI_LNC005386)". Lineage: Eukaryota; Viridiplantae; Streptophyta; Magnoliopsida; Malvales; Malvaceae. The record is from RNAcentral.
UGUGGUUAUUUUCUCUCGUGGUAGUUUUGGUAUAGGCACUGGUGUGAUUUAGGUCCCAAUUAAAAAUCAGUUCUAAAUGUUGGCAAGCUUUGACAAUGCAAUGAAUGUGUAGGAGCUUGGUUUUAGAUGAGAGGCAAUUGGUGGUGAUGAAAAAUGACGCAUGACAUAUUGUUCAUGGGUUGGAAAUGAUCGUUAGGUUAGUGACCACCAGUAUAAGGAUCUGGAAUGG